RNAcentral lists this ribosomal RNA (466 nucleotides) under uncultured bacterium. RNAcentral's name for it is "partial 16S ribosomal RNA". It matches the Rfam family "Bacterial small subunit ribosomal RNA", at positions 28 to 507 of the family's 1533-position model. The record is from RNAcentral.
GAUGAACGCUGGCGGCGUGCUUAACACAUGCAAGUCGAACGAUGAAGCCCAGCUUGCUGGGUGGAUUAGUGGCGAACGGGUGAGUAACACGUGAGUAACCUGCCCUUAACUCUGGGAUAAGCCUGGGAAACUGGGUCUAAUACCGGAUAGGAGCGUCCACCGCAUGGUGGGUGUUGGAAAGAUUUAUCGGUUUUGGAUGGACUCGCGGCCUAUCAGCUUGUUGGUGAGGUAAUGGCUCACCAAGGCGACGACGGGUAGCCGGCCUGAGAGGGUGACCGGCCACACUGGGACUGAGACACGGCCCAGACUCCUACGGGAGGCAGCAGUGGGGAAUAUUGCACAAUGGGCGCAUGCCUGAUGCAGCGACGCCGCGUGAGGGAUGACGGCCUUCGGGUUGUAAACCUCUUUCAGUAGGGAAGAAGCGAAAGUGACGGUACCUGCAGAAGAAGCACCGGCUAACUACGUG